GGGAAACACAACAAUUCACAUAAGCUUGAAAGACAAUGGGCCAAUUUCUGAUCAGACUGUGGAAAAAGGAGAAGAGAGAACGUAUGGAAGGCAGAAAAAGUAGGGCAGCAAUGCUUUGUUACUGAACAGCGAAGUGGACAAUUCUAUAAAGACUGAAAGAGCUGUGUUGCUGUUUAUGAAUCACUGUUGGAUGAGACUCUAAGAACUGAAGAGGAGUAAUCAGUAAUAAACCUCAAACCUUUGGAGGCUAUUGGCUGCCCAUCAGCACUGCAAAUUUUGGGUACUCUACUUUGUGUACCCAAACAGAAAGAUAUUGGGAGUACCUCUGAGGAUGGGCAUUCCCAUUUACCAUGAGCUACCAUGGGAGCAUUCCCCCACUGAGGUGGGUCUCUAGGCUGGCAUAUGCCUAAAGAAACAAGUCACCAUGAAGCAACACAAGCAGAGGCAAUAUGUGGUUUUUUUACUCUGCAAACAAAAGCAUACCAUGCAGCCAGCAUCCUCAGGCACUGCUGUCCCCACAGAGCUCCUGGAUGGACAAGAGGAGUUCCCUGGAGUGGAGGAAGGUAGGAAUGGAAAGUUUUCCUGAAUGUGUGUUCAUCCCUCUAUAACCAUCCAUACCUGGAGCCAGGGCACUGAAGGGAGCUGUGCUGAAUCACCCAGCUGGAACCUCCUUUUCUUUCGGCAUUUCAAAACCUAAGUGGACUUCCUAAAGGAGGCAUGUCUGGUCUCACACCGUGCUCCAGCAGCAGUGGCCAGAGAGCUCUGUUCUACAAGGCAAAGCAUGUGUGCUCGCCACAUUGUCUUUCACGGUCUUCUUGUGGAAUCAGUGAGAAAUGUAUACUUUUGGUUCCAGAAGAGAACAUGAUCACAACAUCGGGAUUUCCCAUAGGACGGAAAUUCUGAUCCAUCCAUAUAAUCCCAUGAGGGACUCUUGUUCAUGACUAGGAAAUGUGGACUUGUUCCAAGUGCAGUACAGGCUCCAAAAGUCCCAAACCACCAGAAGCUCCCAGAGCCCCAAGAGCCCACAAUCAAAGUAAAAAUCAGAGGGCAACAGAUGGAUGGAGACAGAUGGAGAACCACAAAGAAACCAGGAGACACAACAGGUCAGCCUAAUAACAACCAUCUCAGUGGUUUCCUCUUCAGCUUGCACUCAGAUCUUGCAGACCUGUCUUCCUUAUGCUGUCUUUAACACUUUCAUGUCUUGACACAACCAGAGAAACUCAUAUUUGACCAUCUUAAAAGGACCUUAUGUCUUGGUUGUACAACAGUCCUAGAUAGGAAUUUAAUUCACAUUUGCCUUCAUCCUGUGAGCUCAGAGGCUGGUAAGUAAGAGAUACCAAUCGUAUGUAAAUGCCCUCCUCAUAUGGCUUUUCUAUGGGAUAUGAGAGGUUAAGUCAGAAAAAAAGUAUUGCAUACUUACAGCGAUUAGUAGUAGUUUUCUGAAAAAAAAAAACAAAACAAAAAAAAACCCACAAUAUCUGUUAUUUUUAAAUGAAAAGUUUGAACUAAAGAUAUGUGUUUCAUAUAGAUGUGGCAUGCAUGGCUGGCUAGUAUAUAACCCAUGACCAAGCAUUAGCAGUUCUCAGAGUAGAUAGAGGCUGUAGAUCUGGUAGAAACCAUUAAACACUUUCAUACUCCUAUGAUAAAUGACCACGGGGAGCUAGAAAUUGUGUUGCCUUACAAAAUUCAAAAGUAAUUUUGAUGCUUGUAAACCUCUUUCUCUAGAAAGAAUUAUUAUGAACAUUAUUUGGCCAACAGCAAGCGAAAAACCUUAUGACAGAAGAAAACAAAAGUCUGCUUUAAAAUUGUGAAAGUCUCUAUGGAGAGCAAAAGGGGGUGAAGGUGGCAAAAUAGCUGGCAGCAUAGGACACUCCAACAGCAGGAAAAUCUGAUCUUCCUUGUUAUGUGGGUGAGCGAGGUCACAAACCAGUACAGACUCUGAGAAUAUUCACGUAUUCAUGUUGUGUGUGUGGUUUGAUGACAUUUCAAAUGUCAUUUCUAUAACUAACAGCAGAUUUCUUUCCUGAAACACUGUGCUAGAGGAACAGAUCAACACAUCUUAGCUUAUAGUACAUUUUCAGAUGAGAUCUGCUGAAGGAUGUCCUAUGGAAAUGAGAGAUGAAAGCACUGAAUUUCGAUGGGAUUGGCUUUGCCUCUGCGUACAGCGGUUUCCCUUACAAGCAGAUUUAAGGCUGAUAGAGUAACUGGUGACAACACCAGACUGGAUUUAUUUCUUUAGUACCUCUUAAGCUUUGGUCUGCUGUGACUUCAGUGGGAGCUUGAAUACCACAAUCCAAACAAAAUACAAAGUUCUGCAGUUCAGUUAGCCAUGGUUGUAGUCUAUUGUGUAAUGAGACAAAGAGAAAUGUAGCUCUCCACAAAAUGGAACUGCUGCUGCUAUUUUAUGAAACAGCUGCAUUCAGAAUGCCAGCAGAAGCUGCUGUUUGAGUGUUUUAUUGGGAUUAUCUGUUAGGAAUAAAUUAAAGAUUGCUUCAUUUAAAAUGUGCUGCAGGAACUUGGCAGGUUGAAAAAAAAAUCAAUUUGUCGCCAGAGAUCUUCGUUAAGUCAGUUAUGAUGAGAAGAUGAGGACUUCUGCAUCCUUCCAUCAACAAAAGGAAUAAAUUAUCACAAUAGCUGGAGCUUAGAGCGCUUAGCCCUUGCAACACUCUUUAGUGGAGCAAUAAUAUGGAGCCGUCAGCUGACUUGAGAGUGCAUUUUCUCCAAGAAACUCAAAGAGCAGUUAAAGCUAAUCUUGGCAAUAGGGAUGCAGUCUGUUUUACUGUAUGUUGGCGCUUGACUUGCAUGCCGUAUCACUUGAUCAGGAAAAGUUGGAUGGGCUAUGUAAUUACAUGCAAAUGUUCCUCAGGAUGGAAGCAUCAUUCUGUCAGACUGACAAAAAAAAAAGAUAGGUCCCAUUCUUCAGAUGUGUUCAUUAGAGAAAUAACAACUUCAUUUUUUUUUUUUUUAAAGCUUUAUUUUAGGGAACUCCGUCCUCUGAAAACCGGAAUCAGCCCUGGAGAUUUGUACAUUUUCUUUGAAUCAGUGCCUCCUCCAAAGAGCACAUGCAUGCCAGCAUUUGAAAGCAAUUAUGAGAGACAUUUUAAGAGGAAAUCGGGGACAUGUUGUGGGAAUGAAGGAAGAUAUUUCUCAUUCUUCUUUACUUCUUGGGUUAUAUUGCACAGACAGAUCUCACAUAGAAUGAAAUUCACUCCUGAGCAGAAAGUCAGCACAAGGCAAAUAGGUUUUGCUUAAGCCUGAGGGCUUAGAUGAGAGUUAAGUGGUGAACAGGUCCAGUGACGGCCUGCAGCACAAGUAUGCAUUUUAUUAAUCAAAGAUGUCUCAUUGUUCUGAGCCAGCACUAUCCCACUAAUACAUCCAAUGCAACACUCAGACCUGUUUGAUGGGGUCUCAUUUUUGAAAGCCAGAAAUGUUAGAUGGGGAUAUUUCCGUUGUCUUCUAUUACAAAGAUAAGACUCAGAUUUUGAAUUUUCUUAAAUUUGAUUUCAGUAAAAAACAAACAGAGUAGUGAGUUAUGCUUUUAACUAACUGCACUGUAUUAAAAGCUGCUUUAGUCCCUGCUCUUCAUAGAAGGUGUUCUUGCUUUCAACCAUAUUGUUAAUUGUCUUUCAGUUGAAAUAUGUUCUUUACAGAUAUAAGAGAAGGAUAAUAGAGUUUUUUUCUUCGCAUCAAAGGAUUAUUUAGAGAAGUUCGUUGCCUAAUUCACCACUCCUUAAGUAAGAAAUCUGGGGUUUCAAUUUUAUUUCUUUUUCCCUUGUUCUGAUUUUUUUUUUUUUUAACAGAGACAAAGGCCUGGAUAAAUGCCUACCAGAGCGUGGUUAAAUGUAAAAAUUGGUUUGUUUACAACUCAUACCUGUUGCAUUGAAGAUUUCUAGCUCAACCUACCUAAUAAGACUUCUUCCAGUUGGAUUUUCAGUGAGGAAUAGUAAGCUAUGUUAGACUCUAAAGCUGAAGAUAAUUGUAAAGCCUUUCUGUGUCUUCAGAUUUACUGAGAAACUGCAAAACUGAAGUGCAAGUAUCAUCUCUUCUCCGGGAGAAGUUAAAGGGAAUUAGAUCAACUAACUAGAGGAUGCAGUGCCAAGCUCCAUCAGCAUGCCAGGAUUCAGCCUGCUGUCACUGUCAGGUGCUUUCCAAGCCACUGGCUGCACCGGAGUCUGUUGGUGCUGCAAACCUUGUAAUUGAUGUGCUCCCAGCCAGGCCCUCUGGGAUCCAGAUGUGGUGAGGGUAAAACACAUCAGCCCUACAAAUCUGCCACAUGGGACAGAAACUUUCCAGACCUCGGACUUGACUGUCAGCCCUGUCCUUGCUGGCUUCACACCACAGGCUGCAAAAGCCGUACCCCGCAAGGGAAAGCCUUGGCUGUGACUAGGAACUAGAGCUACCUGUAAUUGCAGAGAUAGAUGGAGGGAGAGCCUUUGUGGCACAGGCCUGUGGCUACCAUCACUGGGGAAGCUGUUCUGGUAUUAACAGCAGUGGGAGAUUUUUACCAGUUGAGAAUGUGACAGAAAUCAGCCAAUGUACCACACUCAGGAAUCAAGCCCAUUAACAGCGAUGAGUUAAGAUGUCCUGCAGCUGAAGGGGGUUCUCUUGCCCCUUAAAGAGAUGCAUGCUCAGUUCCAGAUUUACCACAUCUUUCCAAGCAAAAAUGAGAGCCUUGAAACUAAAUGGAACCCCCAUCUGUGGAGGAGAUAGCUAUUGCAUUUUGCCCCACCUUUCCACAGCUUAUAUGAUCACAGAGAAGAGUGGCUUGGAAAUGACAGCAUUGUCUUGCGAUUCAGGGGAGGUCACACAUGAGGAAUUUUUUCAAACAGCAAGUUAAGGCAAUAGAAUGAAACCAGUGACAUCUGCCACUCACGCUCUCUCCCUCCAUCCUGUUUACCCAUAGCCCCCCCUUUUUCCCUUUUCUUUUUCUAAUGCUCAUGGUUUUCAUCCCAUUCAAUAGCUCCCCCCAGUUCCACUCGCGACCCC
Long non-coding RNA from Gallus gallus (chicken), 4986 nucleotides. NCBI's taxonomy places the organism in Eukaryota, Metazoa, Chordata, Aves, Galliformes, Phasianidae. The record is from Ensembl.